GGAGAGAGAUGGGUCCUGGUGGGCUCCGCGGUCUUCAAAACCGUUGUCGGCGAGUGAUCCUUGCCGGGGUUGGUUCGAUUCCUUCCCUCUCCGCCA
Molecule: transfer RNA, 96 nt
Filed under: Verrucomicrobiales bacterium
Lineage: Bacteria; Pseudomonadati; Verrucomicrobiota; Verrucomicrobiia; Verrucomicrobiales
Description: tRNA-Sec
Rfam family: Selenocysteine transfer RNA
Source: RNAcentral